This 1800-nucleotide long non-coding RNA is filed under the name Sus scrofa (pig). RNAcentral's name for it is "TBK1 binding protein 1 (multiple genes)". The record is from RNAcentral. Lineage: Eukaryota; Metazoa; Chordata; Mammalia; Artiodactyla; Suidae.
GGCUACGCGGGCGCCUCCUCGCCCUGGCUGCAGGCCGAGGCGGCCACGCUGCCCAAGCCGCGGGCCUACGGCGGCGAGCUCUACGGCCCCGGCAGGCCCCUCAGCCCGCGGCGCGCCUUUGAGGGCAUCCGCCUGCGCUUCGAGAAGCAGCCGUCGGAGGAGGAGGAAUGGGCCGUGCCCGCCAGCCCGCCCAGCCCAGAGGCGGGCGCCAUCCGCUGCGCCUCGUUCUGUGCUGGGUUCCCGAUCCCCGAGUCGCCCGCCGCCACCGCCUAUGUCCACGCCGAGCACGCGCAGUCCUGGCCGUCCAUCAACCUGCUGAUGGAGACAGUGGGCUCUGAUAUCCGCAGCUGCCCCCUCUGCCAGCUGGGUUUCCCUGUCGGGUACCCGGAUGAUGCUCUCAUCAAACACAUUGACUCCCACCUGGAGAACAGCAAGAUCUAGGGUGCCUCCCCCACCCACUGGCUGUUUUUCCGCCUUCUCCCAUCACCCGUAAACACUCACUUUGAAUGCUGCAUGAAUCUCGUGGGGGGCCCUUGCCCCUCGCGACCCCCAGAUACCUCCACUAGCUACCGAGUCAACGUGUGUGCCGUCUUCCCUGGUCCAGGCACCACUCAGCCCUGGCUUUUCCCGGGAGGUCAGCCGAGGCUCUCCCAGCUCCCUGGCUCCUGCUGGGAGGUGGGGGUCAGGGCUGGGAUGGGAGGGGCAUACCCCACUCAGCCUCUUCCUCUGCCUUUCUGUUUGUUCUACACCGGUUGGAUCCAAGAAGGUGUCUAGUGCUUGGGCCUGGGGGAGGGGGAGGGUAUCAGAGGACUCCAGGCGCUCCCCCAGCCCCUCCCCAGCCGUCCUUCUUUCUCAGGCUGUGCUCUGUCCAGGGAGCGCCUCCUUGUGGGGUCUCAGAGCCUGCCCUGCACACUGAUGCCAGUUGCUCCAUCCCGUGGCCAGGUCGGAGGGAGGAGGCAUCUUGUCUCUUGCCGUCCCUGCAGGCCAGUCCUGUUCUCCCUGCUCUCCCCACCCUGGGGAAUAGGGAGGGUGGGAGAGGAGAGGGAGGGACCUGGAGGACUGGGAGCCUCAAGCCCGGAGAGGCUGCCCUGAGGCACCGUGACCCUCAGACCAGGGCACUAUCUGUGCGGCCGGUGCCCUCCUCCCAGGGCCCCCGGCCCUUAAGGCAGAUGCUCCCCUCCACCCUGACCCCACUCACGCCCCGACACCACAGGUGCCCUGGAGCCUGUGUGUGACUCAGCCUCUGUUAGCUGGGUGGGUGUCAUCAGCCCUGCCUCCCGGGCCCGAACCUGUGGCCGGGCUCAGGGUGCUGUGGAGAUCAACUUCAAAAGAGCUAACCCCCUUCCCAACACCCCAGCGACCCACAUUCCCUCUGUGAAAUCUACCUCAGAGUCGUACCCUCAGAAGGACGGGUAAGCAGGAGGCCAGGGGGUCCCCAGGGCUGAGGUGGGGAGCUUCCUACGGCAAGAGCCUGCCGCCCCCACAAUGAAUCCAACCCCCUCCACUGCAAGCCUCUCCCUGGGUCUCAGCCCAGGCAGGGGGCGGCGGUGGACGCUACUGUCAGUGCAUGUACCAUUCUGAUCCACCUCUUCCAGGCCCCCCACCUCCUCACACCCCUCCCCUCCCCCUCAGUGCAGGGGAGUGGGGGGGUGUGUCUGGCGGGGAAGGGGCCGAGGACUCCAGAGACACAUGGCAUCAUACCACCGAAGGGAAAUGGGGCAGGGGGUGGAGAGGGGAGGUGGGGCCCCUGAGCUCUCUGAACAAGUUGAAAGUCCAAAUAAAACUUACCUGUUCCAUCUG